CGAUGACCUAGCGGAUGAAAACUAAAGAACAAAGAACAUGUCCACGCACAAAAAUGACUGCACUCUAUAGGGGGAUACUUCUAGUGGGAGCGAGACUAUCAAGUCCUCCGUUCCAUGUGGCUGCCUCUCCUCAUUCUUCCCUCGCUCUCCCCGCUUUUAACAACCCACUCCUUGAAAAGAGAUCACUUUACUACUGCCACUGUCGCUACCUCAAGAAUCACUUUCCCUUGAUAUCAUCAUCGUUUUCGUCUUCACCCAUCAUGGCCCAGAUGGAAAGCUCCGCUGGGGUUUCUACAGCUCCAUCGUUUGAUAAUGGAGGGGAUAAUACCACUGUUUUUCCUUUGUCUUCUUCCACUGUUCUUAAAAUCAACAAAGGAGACAUCUCCAAGUGGUUUGUGGAUGGCUCCUCUGAUGCUAUUGUUAAUCC
RNAcentral lists this unclassified non-coding RNA (427 nucleotides) under Hevea brasiliensis (rubber tree). Lineage: Eukaryota; Viridiplantae; Streptophyta; Magnoliopsida; Malpighiales; Euphorbiaceae. The record is from RNAcentral.